GACGAACGCUGGCGGCGUGCUUAACACAUGCAAGUCGAACGCUGAAGCUCAGCUUUUGUUGGGUGGAUGAGUGGCGAACGGGUGAGUAACACGUGAGUAACCUGCCCCCCUCUUUGGGAUAACGCCCGGAAACGGGUGCUAAUACUGGAUAUUCACUGGUCUUCGCAUGGGGUUGGUGGAAAGGGGUUUUCUGGGGGGGGAUGGGCUCGCGGCCUAUCAGCUUGUUGGGGGGGUGAUGGCCUACCAAGGCUUUGACGGGUAGCCGGCCUGAGAGGGUGACCGGUCACAUUGGGACUGAGAUACGGCCCAGACUCCUACGGGAGGCAGCAGUGGGGAAUAUUGCACAAUGGGCGCAAGCCUGAUGCAGCGACGCCGCGUGAGGGAUGGAGGCCUUCGGGUUGUGAACCUCUUUCGCUCAUGGUCAAGCCGCAACAAUGGUUGUGGUGAGGGUAGUGGGUAAAGAAGCGCCGGCUAACUACGUG
Molecule: ribosomal RNA, 482 nt
Filed under: uncultured bacterium
Lineage: Bacteria
Description: partial 16S ribosomal RNA
Rfam family: Bacterial small subunit ribosomal RNA
Source: RNAcentral